CAUAGCCCCUAAAAUAAUUAGAGGUGUGACCUGCCCAAUGAUUACUAAGUUAAACAUGAUAAAAUCAUUUUAAAGUAAUUUAAAGGACGCGGUAUCUUGACCGUGAUAAUGUAGCAUAAUCACUCGCCACUUAAUUAGUGGAUUGUAUGAAUGGUUGAACGAAUAUAACACUGUCUCAGGCAGAGGAUUUAUAAAAUUGGAAUAAUAGUAAAGAUACUAUUAAAAAUUAUAAGACGAAAAGACCCUAUAGAGCUUAACUAUAAUUUCUUUAAUCUAUGAUAAAUUGAUUUAUUUAAAUAAAGAAAUUGGUAGUUUAGUUGGGGCGACUAUCUUCUAAAAAUAACGAAGAUAAACAAAAUUAAUUAAAUAAUUUAUUGUAUAAUUAAUAUAUUUAACAAUUAUAAGUGUAGGUAAUAAUGACCCGUUUUACUACUAGAAAGAAUAAAACGAUUAAUAAAUAAAAGCUACCUUAGGGAUAACAGGAUAAUUUUAUUUUAGAGAUCUUAUCGAAAAUAAAGUUUGUCACCUCUAUGUUGAAUUAAGAUAUCCAGAUAAUGCAGAAGUUAUCAAAGGUAGGUCUGUUCGACCUUUAAAAUCUUACAU
This 603-nucleotide ribosomal RNA is filed under the name Polyorchis penicillatus (penicillate jellyfish). RNAcentral describes it as "partial 16S ribosomal RNA". It matches the Rfam family "Bacterial large subunit ribosomal RNA", at positions 1814 to 2601 of the family's 2925-position model. Lineage: Eukaryota; Metazoa; Cnidaria; Hydrozoa; Anthoathecata; Polyorchidae. The record is from RNAcentral.